Molecule: ribosomal RNA, 587 nt
Filed under: uncultured bacterium
Lineage: Bacteria
Description: bacterial SSU rRNA
Rfam family: Bacterial small subunit ribosomal RNA
Source: RNAcentral
CCUACGGGAGGCAGCAGUGGGGAAUUUUGGACAAUGGGCGAAAGCCUGAUCCAGCAAUGCCGCGUGCAGGAAGAAGGCCUUCGGGUUGUAAACUGCUUUUGUACGGAACGAAACGGUUCGCUUUAAUACAGUGGGCUAAUGACGGUACCGUAAGAAUAGGCACCGGCUAACUACGUGCCAGCAGCCGCGGUAAUACGUAGGGUGCGAGCGUUAAUCGGAAUUACUGGGCGUAAAGCGUGCGCAGGCGGUUAUAUAAGACAGUUGUGAAAUCCCCGGGCUCAACUGGAAUUGCAUCUGUGACUGUAUGGCUAGAGUACGGUAGAGGGGAUGGAAUUCCGCGUGUAGCAGUGAAAUGCGUAGAUAUGCGGAGGAACACCGAUGGACGAAGGCAAUCCCCUGGACCUGUACUGACGCUCAUGCACGAAAGCGUGGGGANCAAACAGGAUUAGAUACCCUGGUAGUCCACGACCCUAAACGAUGUCAACUGGUUGUUGGGUGCUAUUAGUACUCAGUAACGAAGCUAACGCGUGAAGUUGACCGCCUGGGGAGUACGGCCGACAAGGUUGAAACUCGAAAAGGAUUGACGG